AUUUAUAUAAUAUAAACAUUAUUUUUAACUUCCAAUUAAAAAAUCUAAAAUAAACCUUAGUAUAAAUA
This 68-nucleotide transfer RNA is filed under the name Phacomorphus fratyi. Its description in RNAcentral is "tRNA-Gly". Lineage: Eukaryota; Metazoa; Arthropoda; Insecta; Coleoptera; Leiodidae. The record is from RNAcentral.